GAUCAUGGCUCAGGAUGAACGCUGACAGAAUGCUUAACACAUGCAAGUCGAUGGGGAAGUGGUGCUUGCACCAUCGUAACCAUGGCGGACGGGUGAGUAACGCGUAAGGAACUUGCCUGCGGGACUGGGAUAACAGCAGGAAACUGCUGAUAAUACCGGAUAAGGUCAUUAAGCUGCAUAGCUUAGUGAUGAAAGGAGACGCCUGCGGAGAGCCUUGCGU
This 220-nucleotide ribosomal RNA is filed under the name uncultured bacterium. RNAcentral describes it as "partial 16S ribosomal RNA". It matches the Rfam family "Bacterial small subunit ribosomal RNA", at positions 15 to 236 of the family's 1533-position model. The record is from RNAcentral.